This 651-nucleotide long non-coding RNA is filed under the name Salvia miltiorrhiza (redroot sage). RNAcentral describes it as "long non-coding RNA (SMIL_LNC010846)". The record is from RNAcentral. Lineage: Eukaryota; Viridiplantae; Streptophyta; Magnoliopsida; Lamiales; Lamiaceae.
CGGAUGUUUAAAUAAAUUUUGUUCAAAUUUUUCGUUCUAGUUGAAACGCGAAACACGUUUAUUCCUAGAGUCCACUAAUAAAUCUAAUAAUAUAGGUUAGGUUGUAUUUAGAAAAAGUAGGCAAAUAGGCAAAUGUGAUUGAACUAAUUAACGACAUAAAAUAUGAGAUUUAGCUAAUUAACACAAAAUUGUAAUACUCCAUGCUCAAGUUAAAUUUCAAGAAAUCCCUACAAAAGAAAAAGAAAACACACGGUCACAAAUCACACACACAAAUGCAAGUAAAUUAUUCAUUUCUUUGCAAUACCUUCUUAAGCGAUUCAGACUGACUCGUUUCGUUGGUUGAAAAGUGAAAUACCGUCUUACCAAUUGAACUGCAUUUCGUCGUCAAACUUAUGUAUAAUCUGUUGUAACGGAAGAAAAGAAUAUAUAGAGCCGAAACACUUACCUCUUUAUGGAAUAACAUUCAACGAUGGAACCGCAAUAACCAAAAAAAUGGAUCAUAGAGUUAAUUUGCAUUUCUGUUUAUUUUCGAUUGUUGCUAUUUUUGAUGAGAUUGGAAGUGUGAAUUGAAGUAUAAGUUUUUAUGUGAAGGUAUAUUGGGGGAGUGGUGCAGAGAAGCAGAUGGCAUAAAUUAAUAUUUGGCGUUGCAUU